UAUGGUCAUAUCCCGUUGAACCACCGGUUCCCGUACAAUCACCGAAGUUAAGCAAAGUCGAGCCUUGUCAGUACCUAGAUGAGUGAUCUCUUGGGAAUACCAGGCGGAUG
This is a non-coding RNA of Acanthosepion pharaonis, 110 nucleotides long. The record is from the annotation of a GenBank genome assembly. NCBI's taxonomy places the organism in Eukaryota, Metazoa, Mollusca, Cephalopoda, Sepiida, Sepiidae.